UAUUUAAAUACAAUAUGUUUAACUUUAAGAUUAAGUUAAAUAAAAUGAUUAACUAAUUAUAUCCUCACUUCUAUAUUCAAUAUUUAAGUUUUAGUAUUGCAUUGACUAAGACUUCAAUGUUGACUGUUAGAAAAUUUAAUAAAAACGACAAAAAUGCUUUAUUUUAAUUAUUUCAACAAUAAAAUUGCUUGAAUUAGUAGUUUAAGUUGUUGGGUUCUUCUUAGAGAAUAUUUCAGAGGCAAAAACACACAUUUACUCUUCUAAUUAAAACUAUUUGCUUGUCAAUAGGCUUUCUAAGAAAGCUAAAUUCUUUCUAAAGAAAUUUAACUUGUAGCAUAGCAAAGUAUAAAGUAUAUCAAGAGUUUCACAGGAAGGGCUGGGACUUUUUGAAUAUAUGUAAUACACGAAUCAUUUCAUAUUAUAAAUACGAACAUUUUAAAUUUCUUAAUAUAAAGUUAUGGAAUUAAAAUAUUAAUAAAAUAUUAACCAUCCAUUUUUUUUCUUUUGAUAGUAGCUAGAACCAUCAAACUUUAAUCUAUACAAUGUAAAUUACAUGCAAUUUACCUUGCAAGGAGAUGUAUGGAAAUUAUAUAUAUUUUCACCGUUUACCAUAUAUCACUGAGAAAGCAAAAGGCUAUCCCAAAAAGUUUAAAGAUUUAACAAAAGCAUAAAUAAUCGAAACAUAUCAUCAACAGAUAUAUAAGAAGAAAAUUAAAGCCAUUCUCAUGAAAUAUGAACUAUUGAAAAAGAAAUUAAAGGUCGAUGAUUCGUUGGAAACUAACACAAGGAAGCAUAUGUUCAACUUAUGCAUUUGUGGGGGCCAAAGCAAAGUAAAGGAACGAACAUUGAGUACAUUGCAUGAAUUUGUUUUUCCUUUUCCUUUUAAAGCUCAAUGACCAUAACUAUUUAACAUCCCCUGUUUUAUGAUGUCUUUGUUAUUCAAAAUCUCCGUGUGGUCAUCAUAGCUUGUGCGAUCCAAGGCUCAAGGCUCAACUAGUUGAUCAUCAGUGCAGCAUCAUAAAGGUUUUUCGUACGCAUUAUUAUAUCCCAAAAUGUCCACAUUUCCAGGUGACUUGACACCAAACUCACCAAUCGACUUUGAUCCUUACGUGGAUCUGCACCGUCCUCAUACACUCGGUGGCUCUUCCCGUUGCCACGGUCGUGCAGAUGACAGACUAAAACCCGACUUAGAACAAUCCUCAUCAAGGCCACGCAGGGAACAACAGUCCAGUGACUUGGGGAGGCUUUGAACGAGGCUAUAUGUGGUAACAACUGGAGUAGGCCAAAAGCAAUCCUGGAUCAAAACCCUAGUGCUUUGAUAGCAAAAAUUGCUGAUUUUGACCUCGCAGCACUUCAUGUGGCUGCAAUGUUUGAGCAUGUCACCAUAGUGGAGGAGUUGCUCAAAUUACUGCCUCAAGAAUUCCUUCUAACUCGUGAAAUCACUCAACUUGCAAAAAGCCUUGUAAAAAAGAAUAGUCUCAAACUUGCCAUUCCACAAAGAGAUGAUGAUCUUCCUGUUACGAUGGCUUUUCAUUGUGGUCACUAUGAAAUGGGACGAUAUCUUUAUUCUGUCACUCCAUUGGAAUCCCAUAUAGGCUGUCGAAGUUCUAGGCUUCUUCGUUCUCGUUUACAUGCUCAA
This is a long non-coding RNA of Prosopis cineraria, 1639 nucleotides long. RefSeq lists it as uncharacterized. The record is from RefSeq and is a predicted model, not a curated record. Lineage: Eukaryota; Viridiplantae; Streptophyta; Magnoliopsida; Fabales; Fabaceae. The transcript is spliced from 3 exons.